Molecule: ribosomal RNA, 447 nt
Filed under: uncultured bacterium
Lineage: Bacteria
Description: partial 16S ribosomal RNA
Rfam family: Bacterial small subunit ribosomal RNA
Source: RNAcentral
AACGAACGCUGGCGGCAGGCCUAACACAUGCAAGUCGAACGCCCCGCAAGGGGAGUGGCAGACGGGUGAGUAACACGUGGGAAUCUUCCUCGUAGUACGGAACAACUCAGGGAAACUUGAGCUAAUACCGUAUACGCCCUUCGGGGGAAAGAGUUAUCGCUAUGAGAUGAGCCCGCGUCCGAUUAGCUAGUUGGUGAGGUAAUGGCUCACCAAGGCUACGAUCGGUAGCUGGUCUGAGAGGAGGAUCAGCCACAUGGGGACUGAGACACGGCCCAAACUCCUACGGGAGGCAGCAGUGGGGAAUAUUGGACAAUGGGCGCAAGCCUGAUCCAGCCAUGCCGCGUGAGUGACGAAGGCCUUAGGGUUGUAAAGCUCUUUUGGCGGGGAAGAUAAUGACGGUACCCGCAGAAUAAGCUCCGGCUAACUUCGUGCCAGCAGCCGCGGUAA